RNAcentral lists this ribosomal RNA (1466 nucleotides) under uncultured bacterium. RNAcentral describes it as "bacterial SSU rRNA". It matches the Rfam family "Bacterial small subunit ribosomal RNA". The record is from RNAcentral.
GAUGAACGCUGGCGGCGUGCCUAAUACAUGCAAGUCGAGCGAACAGAUGAGAAGCUUGCUUCUCUGAUGUUAGCGGCGGACGGGUGAGUAACACGUGGGUAACCUACCUAUAAGACUGGGAUAACUCCGGGAAACCGGGGCUAAUACCGGAUAAUAUUUUGAACCGCAUGGUUCAAUAGUGAAAGACGGUUUCGGCUGUCACUUAUAGAUGGACCCGCGCCGUAUUAGCUAGUUGGUAAGGUAACGGCUUACCAAGGCGACGAUACGUAGCCGACCUGAGAGGGUGAUCGGCCACACUGGAACUGAGACACGGUCCAGACUCCUACGGGAGGCAGCAGUAGGGAAUCUUCCGCAAUGGGCGAAAGCCUGACGGAGCAACGCCGCGUGAGUGAUGAAGGUCUUCGGAUCGUAAAACUCUGUUGUUAGGGAAGAACAAAUUUGUUAGUAACUGAACAAGUCCUGACGGUACCUAACCAGAAAGCCACGGCUAACUACGUGCCAGCAGCCGCGGUAAUACGUAGGUGGCAAGCGUUAUCCGGAAUUAUUGGGCGUAAAGCGCGCGUAGGCGGUUUCUUAAGUCUGAUGUGAAAGCCCACGGCUCAACCGUGGAGGGUCAUUGGAAACUGGGAAACUUGAGUGCAGAAGAGGAGAGUGGAAUUCCAUGUGUAGCGGUGAAAUGCGCAGAGAUAUGGAGGAACACCAGUGGCGAAGGCGGCUCUCUGGUCUGUAACUGACGCUGAUGUGCGAAAGCGUGGGGAUCAAACAGGAUUAGAUACCCUGGUAGUCCACGCCGUAAACGAUGAGUGCUAAGUGUUAGGGGGUUUCCGCCCCUUAGUGCUGCAGCUAACGCAUUAAGCACUCCGCCUGGGGAGUACGACCGCAAGGUUGAAACUCAAAGGAAUUGACGGGGACCCGCACAAGCGGUGGAGCAUGUGGUUUAAUUCGAAGCAACGCGAAGAACCUUACCAAAUCUUGACAUCCUUUGACCGCUCUAGAGAUAGAGUCUUCCCCUUCGGGGGACAAAGUGACAGGUGGUGCAUGGUUGUCGUCAGCUCGUGUCGUGAGAUGUUGGGUUAAGUCCCGCAACGAGCGCAACCCUUAAGCUUAGUUGCCAUCAUUAAGUUGGGCACUCUAGGUUGACUGCCGGUGACAAACCGGAGGAAGGUGGGGAUGACGUCAAAUCAUCAUGCCCCUUAUGAUUUGGGCUACACACGUGCUACAAUGGAUAAUACAAAGGGCAGCGAAUCCGCGAGGCCAAGCAAAUCCCAUAAAAUUAUUCUCAGUUCGGAUUGUAGUCUGCAACUCGACUACAUGAAGCUGGAAUCGCUAGUAAUCGUAGAUCAGCAUGCUACGGUGAAUACGUUCCCGGGUCUUGUACACACCGCCCGUCACACCACGAGAGUUUGUAACACCCGAAGCCGGUGGAGUAACAAUGUUAGGAGCUAGCCGUCGAAGGUGGGACAAAU